UCCGAGUGGUGUGGAUGUUUAUUGGGCCUAAAGCAUCCGUAGCUGGCUAGGCUAGUCCCCUGUUAAAUCCACCGAAUUAAUCGUUGGAUUGCGGGGGAUACUGCUUGGCUAGGGGACGAGAGAGGCAGACGGUAUUUCCGGGGUAGGGGUGAAAUCCUAUAAUCCCGGGAAGACCACCAGUGGCGAAGGCUGUCUGCUAGAACGCGCCCGACGGUGAGGGAUGAAAGCUGGGGGAGCGAACCGGAUUAGAUACCCGGGUAGUCCCAGCUGUAAACGAUGCAGACUAGGUGUUUGGACGGCCACGUGCCGUUCUAGUGCCGCAGGGAAGCUGUUAAGUCUGCCGCCUGGGGAGUACGAUCGCAAGAUUGAAACUUAAAGGAAUUGGCGGGGGAGCACCACAAGGGGUGAAGCUUGCGGUUUAAUUGGAGUCAACGCCGGAAAUCUCACCGGGAGCGACAGCAGAAUGAAGGCCAGAUUAAAGGUCUUGCCAGACAAGCUGAGA
This 502-nucleotide ribosomal RNA is filed under the name uncultured crenarchaeote. Its description in RNAcentral is "bacterial SSU rRNA". It matches the Rfam family "Archaeal small subunit ribosomal RNA", at positions 483 to 985 of the family's 1478-position model. Lineage: Archaea; Thermoproteati; Thermoproteota. The record is from RNAcentral.